RNAcentral lists this long non-coding RNA (1057 nucleotides) under Ursus maritimus (polar bear). RNAcentral describes it as "lncRNA (ENSUMAG00000020201.1)". Lineage: Eukaryota; Metazoa; Chordata; Mammalia; Carnivora; Ursidae. The record is from RNAcentral.
GUUUAAUUUCCGUAUCAGGCAGCUGUCAAUUGCAGGAGCCGAAGUGACUAUAGUUGUUAAGCAGAAAUCGGUGAUAGUUAUUUCUUUUGUAACCAGUAACGUGUUUCUGAAAAACUGUGUGCUCUCGAAAUUAACAAUGGAGCAUAUAGAUUCAGUGCAGACCAUUCAAAACCUGUAUCAUGUUGCAUCCACAGCACCAGCAAAUACAAUGCCUGGGAGCCUCGGAGGGCUCUUGGACAGGCACCUGAACAUGGCCAGAGUUAGCCUUGGGGAUGUUCAAAAUGAACAGAAACAGGGACUGCUGUUCUGACUGUCCCCUGGGGAUACAUGGGGCUGGUGACCGAUACUGGAAUGGCGAGUCUGGCUGCACCCCAGGAACCCCUGGCCUGGCCACUGGAGAAGGGCCAAAGCUGCAAGCGAUCCCCGCAUUCACUGUCCAUCACCCCGCUUACCUUUUGCAACGUUCAAGGAGCAGAAAGAUGGCCUCCACCUCACCUCUGCUUGCCUUCGCCUUUGCAAAUCUUGCAUAAGUACAUCGAAGUUGAGGAAGCAUAGUCUGACUCUCGAGUCAAGAAAAUCUGCGAAACGUGAUUCUUAGCUUCCCUGUGUCCACAGUUUAGGCUCAAACACGAGAAAGUUGCUGUGAUGGGAUUCUUUUUACCCACUGCGAUUUUAUACUCCUUUAGAUAGUUUUCUCUUUUUUAUGAUUUUCAAAGUGGAAUAUAAUUUACAUACAUUUAAGUGCAUGGUUUUGCGAGGUUUGGUAAAUGUGUAUGCUUGCAUAGUCACUGCCCCACUCAGGAUACAGAACAUUUCCAUGACCUCAGAAAGUUCUUCGUGCAAUCCGUAGGGGUGCUGUUCUGAUUUCCAGCCCUCUAACAGGUUUUGCCUCUUCUCUACCUCUGAGAAAUGGGUGUAUAUUUGCGGUAGGGAAGUCCACUAAAAUUAUUUGUACAAGAAUGUUGAUAGCAACAUUAUUCAUAAUAGCCCCAACCUGGAAACAUCCUAAAUGUCCAUAGCAGGAAAAUAAAUAAUGAAACUAUGAUACGUUUGUACA